GCAGUGUAGGGACUGCUUGUGCUGCGCCAAUAGCUUUCUUCAGCAAGGACACAUGGAACACCGGGUGAAUCCGAGAGUGCGGUGGUAACUUCAAACGGUACGCGACCAAUCCGAUUCGAGCCUCCACUUGAAAAGGACCAAAAAAUCUGGGGGCCAGCUUCCUAUUAGUUGCAGAAUAUAGGGUGGACUGCCGAUACGGACGGAACUUCAAAUAAACCAGGUCACCGACAGCAAAAUCCACUGCACGGCGAUGUUUAUUAGCCUCACGAAGCAUACGUUGUUGCGCACGUUGGAGAUGGUAAGAUAGGUGUGAAAGAACUUCGUCGCGAUCACGGAGAGUUUCAGCCAAAGCUUGCACACGCACCUCCCCUGGGAGAAAUCGAGAGAUGGUCGGAGGCGGUCGACCAUAAACUGCUUCAAAUGGUGUAGUACCGCCAGCAGAUUGGAAUCCCGUAUUAUAACAGAACUCAGCCCAGGAUAACCACUUGCUCCAAUGCUUGGGCCGUUCACAAGAGAAACAACGCAAGUACGUCUCUAAACACCGGUUAAGGACUUCGUUUGGCCAUCCGUCUCAGGGUGAUAUGCCGAGCUCAUUCGCAGGGUAGUACCCGCCAAUUUGAAAAGCUCGCGCCAAAACGAGCUGAUGAAUAUGGGAUCCCUGUCUGAUACGAUUGACCCCGGGAUUCCAUGAAGGCGGACAAUCUCUUUAGUAAAAAGGUCAGCCACACUUUUGGCAGUGAAAGGAUGGCGUAAAGGGAGGAAAUGUCCGUACUUGGAAAAGCGAUCAACCACCACCAGUAUACAGUCAAUACCUCCCGAGCGCGGCAACCCCGUAAUAAAGUCGAGGCUAAUGUCUUCCCAAACGACGGUUGGAAUUGGCAACGGGUUGAGGAGUCCGGCUGGGGACUUAGUUUCAUACUUAUUGCGUUGGCAGAUCUCGCAUGCUGCCACAAACUGUGUCACGCGACGCAUCAUGCCCGGCCAAUAAACAUUGGCAGCGAGACGUCGAUAUGUUCGGAAAGCCCCUGAGUGACCCCCGGAUGGGGUGGAGUGAAACUCAACCAGCAGCUUAGGGAUCCAGUCGGAAACUGAGGGCAGGACUAGGCGUCCCUUAUAAAACAACACGCCUCGAAUCAAAGUAUAGUGCUUAGGACCAGGUUGCCCAGCUUCCAGUACAUUGAUGAUCUUCGAUAUAGAAGGGUCGGCCUUCAGCUGUGCUUGCAAAUCUGACCAAUCAAUCCAUCGUGGCAGGGAGAUGGCGGAGAACUCGACCUCUUCGUCGCGUCGAGACAAAGCAUCUGCAGCCUGGUUAAGGCAGCCUUCCUUGUAUACUAUGGAGAAAUCAUAGCCCAAGAGUUUCGCGGCCCAAUUCUGUUGCGCAGGGGUGGUGAGAGCUUGGGACAGAAGAUGUUUCAGACUGCGUUGAUCGGUGCGCACGGUGAAGUGGCGGCCCAAUAAAUAUGGUCGCCAAUGUUGAACCGCGAGUACGAGAGCCAUGAGCUCUUUUUCAUAAGCCGAUUUGGAUAGCACCCGAUCAGACAAACCUUUGCUGAAAUAGGCAAUAGGUUGCUUAUUCUGCAUUAACACGGCGCCGAGACCUCGGCCAGAGGCAUCACACUCCACGACGAAGUCUUGGGAGAAAUCUGGCGUACGCAAAAGGGGUGCCGUUGUAAGGGCAGAUUUCAGUGUCUGAAAGGCAGCCUCAGCUUCCGCCGUCCACCGAAACCGAGUAUGGCUGUCUUUUUUAAGUAAUGCGGUGAGUGGGGCUGCUAUCUUACCGUAGUUCUGAAUAAAACGGCGGUAAUAGCCCGUGAGACCCAAGAACCCCCGCAGCCCACGCAGAGAAGAAGGGACUGGCCAACGUAAAACUGCUGAUAUCUUGGCUGGAUCCAUGCGCACGCCGUCGUUGGACACAAUAUGUCCAAGGUAUUCAACUUCUUGUUUGCCAAGCAAACAUUUCUUUGGGUUAAUUACUAGCGAAUGUGAGCUGAGUAGACGCAAAACCUGCCGGAGGUGAUCCACAUGCUCAGUCCAGGAGCGACUAUAGACAAGAAUGUCGUCAAAGAAAACUAACACAAACUUCCGUAAAUGGGGUCGGAAGAUAUCAUUCAUGAGGCCUUGGAAAGUUGCCGGUGCAUUCAUAAGACCGAAAGGCAUGACCAGAAAUUCGUAAUGGCCCGAGUGAGUGCGAAAAGCUGUUUUUGGGAUAUCCUCAGUAGCAACUCGGAUUUGAUGAUAACCGGCCCGAAGAUCUAGUUUGCUGUACCAUCGCGCCCCAUGAAGUUCAUCUAAUAAUUCUUGGAUGACCGGGAUCGGAUACUUGUCUGGCACAGUCAGUUUGUUGAGCGCCCGAUAGUCGACACAGAACCGCCAGGAGCCAUCUUUCUUAUGAACCAAAAGAACAGGGCUUGAAUACGGGCUAGUGCUGGGUUGAAUAAUGCCCGCGGCUAGCAUCUCGGCGACCAAGCGCUCCAUUUCAUCUUUUUGAGUAUGGUUGUAACGGUAAGGUCGUACUGAUACCGGAUGGGAGCCAGGCUGCAAGGGGAUACGAUGAUCAUGAGCUCGCGGUGGAGGAAGGGUUGUGGCAGGUGUACUGACUUCCGGAAAUUCCGCCAAGAGAUUAGCUAAUGCACGCUGGGCAUCUGCAGAGAGGUUGGGCGAGACGCCCUGAAUUUGUUCUCCAUCCAACAGCCAUAGUAUCCAGCAGGUGUCUGCAGAGGUGAGUUCGUGAGGCUUGCGAGGAUCACACCUACGGCGGGUCAGGGAGCGGUCCCCCCGUAAACAGAUGUCACGGUCGGAGGCAGAAAAUUCCAUGGUAAGUGUCGCCCAAUUAGUCUUGACAUUCCCCAAUGUAGCCAACCAUGAGAUGCCAAGGAUCAAGUCCACACUGGAUAAAGGAAAACAUAACAAGAAAUAGAGAAUAUCACACCAUCUAAGAGAAGUGGAACAUCCUUACAGAAACCCCUGGAUCGAACACGAGUACCAUCGCCGAGUGUAACUGAGGAAUGGACGGUGGAGUCUACUUGUAGCUGUAGGGCUGUAGCCAUCUUUUCGGAGAUAAACAGUGGCUGGCGCCGCUAUCGACCAUGAUAAGCAGACGGGUUUGAUUCACACAACCGAAAAACUUCAUGGUUUGGGGGCCAUCAAAUCCAAAAAAGUUAGUUCGGAAAGCUGGCUGUGCUGGAGGGUAGUUUCCUCCGGUGUGUCGUCAGCCUCAGCAUUCGGUGAGAGUGGAAGGUCUGGAGCAGGUGUGGUGGCAGACUCAGAAUCGUCCAAAUCAUCAUAGACGAGAACAUUCAGCGUCUUGGGCGGCAUCGAUGCAGAGGGCCAAAAGGUAGCUGCAACGAAACAGUGCCAGCAGCAAGGUGUUUCUGGAUUUCCGAUUGCGGCAAUUGGCGAAAUUUGUGUGCCUUCGAAAAGUUGGAGGACUGCGGUGAUGUGGCAGACCCGGGGGUGCGGAGUAACCGUGGUACGCGGAGGAUAAACUGGUCGUGACGUCUGCACCGGAAGAGUAACAGCACGGGAGAAGGAUCCGGGUACAGUAGACGGCCGUUCGGCGCGCCGUGCUGCUCGUACAGCCGAGUCAUAUUAGUGAGGGCAGUGUCCUGGAUUCGAUCACGGACGGAAGACUUCAGGCCACCCAAAAAAUAUCCCAGCAUCUGAUCAUCAGAUAAGGGAAUGGGUAACUGUGCUGCACGUCCUUCGAAAGCGGCGAUGUGUUCCUCCAAGGAUCCGGUUUGGCGGAAUAGGAACAAGGCCUCAUAGGUGUUGAAAGUAGAAGCAUCGCCAAAACGCUCUAAGAGGGCUCUGGUAAAAUCUGGCCAGGCCGGAUUCGGGGUUCUGCGCAGGAACAAGUGCAACCAAGAUAGGGCGGCUCCAGACAUUGCAAUGAUGGCGAUUUGCAACUUUUGAUUAUCAGCGAUCUGAUGAACGAGAAAAUAUUGGUUUGCCCUAGCUAUCCAGCCACGCGGUUCAAGACCAUCAAAAACCGGCAGGUCCAUUCGUUGAAGCGGAAGAGAAAUCGGCGGGGUACCCGUAGGAUCAGGCGUAUGGUGUGGAAGAACGGGCGGCUUGUCGUGGUGGGAGACAGCAGCCAAUAUGGCGGCUAACUGAGAUUCGAUGGUGGAACGGUUGGAGUCCACCGUGGCCGUGAGGGUCACGAGCGACGUCUGCAAUUCGCCAACCACCUUCUCUAACUGCCCCAGGCGAUCCUCGGUGCUGCGCGUCGUAGCCCACCAUGGUAGGUCGGACCAAUUUGAUAGAGUAAAGGUGGAGAUGAGGCUAAAAUAAUUCACUGAACGGGAGAAACUCCUCCACAACGGAGGCCUACAGCAAACACGCUGUUACAAUCUUUAAUCUCUGCCUAACUCUCCUGCUAUAGUACGCACUAUAUAUAAUAAAGAAGGGAAACCCUAAUCUGCUAAGCCCAUGCACAUGUACGGGCUUAAGGCCCAACACAAAGAAUAACUUAACAGCUAAAAUAAUAAUAACCCANCGUCCACCGAAAUCGAGUAUGGCUGUCUUUUUAAGUAAUGCGGUGAGUGGGGCUGCUAUCUUACCGUAGUUCUGAAUAAAACGGCGGUAAUAGCCCGUGAGACCCAAGAACCCCCGCAGCCCACGCAGAGAAGAAGGGACUGGCCAACGUAAAACUGCUGAUAUCUUGGCUGGAUCCAUGCGCACGCCGUCGUUGGACACAAUAUGUCCAAGGUAUUCAACUUCUUGUUUGCCAAGCAAACAUUUCUUUGGGUUAAUUACUAGCGAAUGUGAGCUGAGUAGACGCAAAACCUGCCGGAGGUGAUCCACAUGCUCAGUCCAGGAGCGACUAUAGACAAGAAUGUCGUCAAAGAAAACUAACACAAACUUCCGUAAAUGGGGUCGGAAGAUAUCAUUCAUGAGGCCUUGGAAAGUUGCCGGUGCAUUCAUAAGACCGAAAGGCAUGACCAGAAAUUCGUAAUGGCCCGAGUGAGUGCGAAAAGCUGUUUUUGGGAUAUCCUCAGUAGCAACUCGGAUUUGAUGAUAACCGGCCCGAAGAUCUAGUUUGCUGUACCAUCGCGCCCCAUGAAGUUCAUCUAAUAAUUCUUGGAUGACCGGGAUCGGAUACUUGUCUGGCACAGUCAGUUUGUUGAGCGCCCGAUAGUCGACACAGAACCGCCAGGAGCCAUCUUUCUUAUGAACCAAAAGAACAGGGCUUGAAUACGGGCUAGUGCUGGGUUGAAUAAUGCCCGCGGCUAGCAUCUCGGCGACCAAGCGCUCCAUUUCAUCUUUUUGAGUAUGGUUGUAACGGUAAGGUCGUACUGAUACCGGAUGGGAGCCAGGCUGCAAGGGGAUACGAUGAUCAUGAGCUCGCGGUGGAGGAAGGGUUGUGGCAGGUGUACUGACUUCCGGAAAUUCCGCCAAGAGAUUAGCUAAUGCACGCUGGGCAUCGGCAGAGAGGUUGGGCGAGACGCCCUGAAUUUGUUCUCCAUCCAACAGCCAUAGUAUCCAGCAGGUGUCUGCAGAGGUGAGUUCGUGAGGCUUGCGAGGAUCACACCUACGGCGGGUCAGGGAGCGGUCCCCCCGUAAACAGAUGUCACGGUCGGAGGCAGAAAAUUCCAUGGUAAGUGUCGCCCAAUUAGUCUUGACAUUCCCCAAUGUAGCCAACCAUGAGAUGCCAAGGAUCAAGUCCACACUGGAUAAAGGAAAAACAUAACAAGAAAUAGAGAAUAUCACACCAUCUAAGAGAAGUGGAACAUCCUUACAGAAACCCCUGGAUCGAACACGAGUACCAUCGCCGAGUGUAACUGAGGAAUGGACGGUGGAGUCUACUUGUAGCUGUAGGGCUGUAGCCAUCUUUUCGGAGAUAAAACAGUGGCUGGCGCCGCUAUCGACCAUGAUAAGCAGACGGGUUUGAUUCACACAACCGAAAAACUUCAUGGUUUGGGGGCCAUCAAAUCCAAAAAAAGUUAGUUCGGAAAGCUGGCUGUGCUGGAGGGUAGUUUCCUCCGGUGUGUCGUCAGCCUCAGCAUUCGGUGAGAGUGGAAGGUCUGGAGCAGGUGUGGUGGCAGACUCAGAAUCGUCCAAAUCAUCAUAGACGAGAACAUUCAGCGUCUUGGGCGGGCAUCGAUGCAGAGGGCCAAAAGGUAAGCUGCAACGAAAACAAGUGCCAGCAGCAAGGUGUUUCUGGAUUUCCGAUUGCGGCAAUUGGCGAAAUUUGCGUGCCUUCGAAAAGUUGGAGGACUGCGGUGAUGUGGCAGACCCGGGGGGUGGCGGAGUAACCGUGGUACGCGGAGGAUAAACUGGUCGUGACGUCUGCACCGGAAGAGUAACAGCACGGGAGAAGGAUCCGGGUACAGUAGACGGCCGUUCGGCGCGCCGUGCUGCUCGUACAGCCGAGUCAUAAUUAGUGAGGGCAGUGUCCUGGAUUCGAUCACGGACGGAAGACUUCAGGCCACCCAAAAAAUAUCCCAGCAUCUGAUCAUCAGAUAAGGGAAUGGGUAACUGUGCUGCACGUCCUUCGAAAGCGGCGAUGUGUUCCUCCAAGGAUCCGGUUUGGCGGAAUAGGAACAAGGCCUCAUAGGUGUUGAAAGUAGAAGCAUCGCCAAAACGCUCUAAGAGGGCUCUGGUAAAAUCUGGCCAGGCCGGAUUCGGGGUUCUGCGCAGGAACAAGUGCAACCAAGAUAGGGCGGCUCCAGACAUUGCAAUGAUGGCGAUUUGCAACUUUUGAUUAUCAGCGAUCUGAUGAACGAGAAAAUAUUGGUUUGCCCUAGCUAUCCAGCCACGCGGUUCAAGACCAUCAAAAACCGGCAGGUCCAUUCGUUGAAGCGGAAGAGAAAUCGGCGGGGUACCCGUAGGAUCAGGCGUAUGGUGUGGAAGAACGGGCGGCUUGUCGUGGUGGGAGACAGCAGCCAAUAUGGCGGCUAACUGAGAUUCGAUGGUGGAACGGUUGGAGUCCACCGUGGCCGUGAGGGUCACGAGCGACGUCUGCAAUUCGCCAACCACCUUCUCUAACUGCCCCAGGCGAUCCUCGGUGCUGCGCGUCGUAGCCACCAUGGUAGGUCGGACCAAUUUGAUAGAGUAAAGGUGGAGAUGAGGCUAAAAUAAUUCACUGAACGGGAGAAACUCCUCCACAACGGAGGCCUACAGCAAACACGCUGUUACAAUCUUUAAUCUCUGGAUAACUCUCCUGCUAUAGUACGCACUAUAUAUAAUAAAGAAGGGAAACCCUAAUCUGCUAAGCCCAUGCACAUGUACGGGCUUAAGGCCCAACACAAAGAAAUAACUUAACAGCUAAAAUAAUAAUAACCCAACACAAAGAAAUAACUUAACAAGAUAAAAGAAAUAAAGAUAAACUUUAACUUUAUUCAGCCAUCCAAUCGACCACAGCCCGCGGCCCGCGCACAUACGUGCGCCAAGGUCGUGUGCUAUCAAAAUAAUUAAAAGGUUAAAAUAAUAAGAGAGAGAAUUAAGAAAAUAAUUUCUUUUAAAACUUCUAACUAUUAAUUUUAAUUAAUUUAUUACAUAAUAUAUAUCAAAAUUGAAGCUAUUGUCAUAAUCUUUAAUUUGAUAUGUAUAUUGAAUAUUUAGUCAUUAGUUAAAUUACAUUGUGAUUGAAAAGAAAAAGAAAAAAAGCGCAAAAAAAGCAAGAAUGAGUAUGAAUUGUGAAAGAAAAAUGGGCAUUUUGGAG
Molecule: long non-coding RNA, 7663 nt
Filed under: Salvia miltiorrhiza (redroot sage)
Lineage: Eukaryota; Viridiplantae; Streptophyta; Magnoliopsida; Lamiales; Lamiaceae
Description: long non-coding RNA (SMIL_LNC011924)
Source: RNAcentral